CAACUUUUCAUAGCCAAAUCAAAGAACAUACUGUAUAUAUUUACUUUUCAUCGAGAAUUUCAGUUUCUUGCAUUGCCGCCGGUCAGCCCCCAGCCCCACCGGCCGACUACAAAAUCCAAUUUUACCGGUGGAACAACACCAGUGGAGGUAGGGAAUUUGAGGGCGCAACAACCAAAUGGAUGAAGAUGUGAUGCAGAGGAGAGUGAGGGGUGAGAAUAUCAUGAGAUAUGCAUUCCAACAUUUUCGCCUGCGCAGACUCAUCGCUCUCUCUUUCUUUCUAAUCAAAAUGUUUCCCUCUAAAAAGUAAACAAAUACUCAUAGUAAGUUUGAAGUGAGACAAAGUCGACGAUGAUGACACAGACUUUUCAUUAUUUCAAUAAAUUUGAAUUAAAUAGUUGAGGAAAGUUGGGUGGUUCUCUCAUUGGAAUGACGUCUCUCAAGGAUAAAUUCAAAAAUCAAAAGCAGAAAAUUCAAGAAGAAAAUCGAGGAUCAAAUGUAAAUGUUGCCGUCACAAAGAAUUUAAGUGUACCAAUCCGAGAGCAUUUAAUUCCUUGGGUGGACAUGAAAAGGAAAGAGAGGUAAAGCAGCACUUACAAGUUACAGGAGGAACUUCCUUCUGGUGGUGGAAGACGGAGAGAGAGAGAGAGAGAGAGAGAGAGAACCCAUCGGUUUGCGUGUCACUCCACUUUGUAAAACAUUCUUGGUUCUUCUAAAAAUAAAAUACUGUAAAUUCUUGGUUCUUCAACCAC
Molecule: long non-coding RNA, 749 nt
Filed under: Salvia miltiorrhiza (redroot sage)
Lineage: Eukaryota; Viridiplantae; Streptophyta; Magnoliopsida; Lamiales; Lamiaceae
Description: long non-coding RNA (SMIL_LNC012385)
Source: RNAcentral